Molecule: ribosomal RNA, 468 nt
Filed under: uncultured bacterium
Lineage: Bacteria
Description: partial 16S ribosomal RNA
Rfam family: Bacterial small subunit ribosomal RNA
Source: RNAcentral
GACGAACGCUGGCGGCGUGCUUAACACAUGCAAGUCGAACGGAAAGGCCCUGCUUUUGUGGGGUGCUCGAGUGGCGAACGGGUGAGUAACACGUGAGUAACCUGCCCUUGACUUUGGGAUAACUUCAGGAAACUCGGGCUAAUACCGGCUAGGAGCUCCUGCUGCAUGGUGGGGGUUGGACAGUUUCGACGGUUGGGGAUGGACUCGCGGCUUAUCAGCUUGUUGGUGGGGUAGUGGCUUACCAAGGCUUUGACGGGUAGACGGCCUGAGAGGGUGACCGGCCACAUUGGGACUGAGAUACGGGCCAGACUCCUACGGGAGGCAGCAGUGGGGAAGACUCCACGAUGGGAGGAAGCCUGAUGCAGCACCGCCGCGUGCGGGAUCACGGCCUUCGGGUUGUAAACCGCGUUCGCCUGUGACGAAGCGUGAGUGACGGUAAUGGGUAGAGAAGCACCGGCUAAGUACGUG